ACCGCGAUAGCUCCGCCGGUAAAGCAUCUGCACGGUAUGCGGAUGGUCGCUGGUUCGACUCCGGCUCGCGGCA
RNAcentral lists this transfer RNA (73 nucleotides) under Fasciola hepatica (liver fluke). It matches the Rfam family "tRNA". From Rfam's summary of the family: Transfer RNA (tRNA) molecules are approximately 80 nucleotides in length. Their secondary structure includes four short double-helical elements and three loops (D, anti-codon, and T loops). Further hydrogen bonds mediate the characteristic L-shaped molecular structure. tRNAs have two regions of fundamental functional importance: the anti-codon, which is responsible for specific mRNA codon recognition, and the 3' end, to which the tRNAs corresponding amino acid is attached (by aminoacyl-tRNA synthetases). tRNAs cope with the degeneracy of the genetic code in two manners: having more than one tRNA (with a specific anti-codon) for a particular amino acid; and 'wobble' base-pairing, i.e. permitting non-standard base-pairing at the 3rd anti-codon position. Lineage: Eukaryota; Metazoa; Platyhelminthes; Trematoda; Plagiorchiida; Fasciolidae. The record is from Rfam by way of RNAcentral.